CUGGACAAUAAUAAUAUAAGCAUUUGAGCUGGGUUUUACGUUGCGCCCAACAAAGUUGCCCAUCAUUCUAGAAACACACAUUCAAUGGCACUCAUCGUCCAAAUUUUAAUGCUCGCUGCUUGGACGCUGACGGCGACUAUUUGCAACGUUGCAGCAGAUUGCGUGACAGAUCCUGAGUCGAUGCUGUGCAUUUUAGAUCCCGACAUGGGAUGAGCACGAGUUUGUCAUAAUACUUACUAACUUACGCCUGAAGUGUAUAUGAAUAAAUAAAAUAUAAACAAAAAAUGUA
Long non-coding RNA from Drosophila grimshawi, 289 nucleotides. RefSeq lists it as uncharacterized. NCBI's taxonomy places the organism in Eukaryota, Metazoa, Arthropoda, Insecta, Diptera, Drosophilidae. The transcript is spliced from 2 exons. The record is from RefSeq and is a predicted model, not a curated record.